This 432-nucleotide long non-coding RNA is filed under the name Brassica napus (rape). RNAcentral describes it as "long non-coding RNA (BNAP_LNC020882)". Lineage: Eukaryota; Viridiplantae; Streptophyta; Magnoliopsida; Brassicales; Brassicaceae. The record is from RNAcentral.
AUUUAAAUUCAUGUGAAAUCUUAUAUUCCAAAGCAUAAGUCUUUAAUUACUUUAUGAUAAAAAUGCUACCGUACAUUCAGUGAGUUAAACACACACGUAAGUGAUUAAAACAUACCAACUUUAACUAACAACAUUGAGUUAUUAUAAAAUACAUAUGUAAUAAGAUUUAAAAGUGAAGUCAAUUCGGACCAGGAAUGCUUAUUCCCCACUUAGCUUCAUCAAUGGAGUAGAUGACCUCAACGUGACUUAACCAGGACAAGAGCUUCCAUCAUCAUCAUCUUCACUCUCACCGAGACAAACCAAGAUCAAGAACACAAGAUUUUGAGGAAGAUCUAAAGCAAGAAACAUAUUGCUUAUUAUAUUUUCAAACUGGUGUCAACCAACAUAUAUAUACUGUAACAUAGAUAGAUAUACGUACACAGAUUCAAAGAC